RNAcentral lists this ribosomal RNA (324 nucleotides) under Triticum aestivum (bread wheat). RNAcentral describes it as "partial small subunit ribosomal RNA". Lineage: Eukaryota; Viridiplantae; Streptophyta; Magnoliopsida; Poales; Poaceae. The record is from RNAcentral.
AUGCGACGGCAUGAUAUACAUACAACUACUACUUCAACUACACAACUGAGAAUCCUCGCCGGGCAUGCUGAGGAAGCUGGUGCCGGAGCCGCCGGCCUCGUGGUCAUUGGCGGUCGGGCACACCUCCGGCUCGUCGUCCUCCACAAACUUGGUGAAGAUCUCGACGAUCUCCUGCUUCCGCCGGCGGAGGAAGGGGUGGUUGCCCUCCACCUCGUACUCCGACUCAAAGGACUCAAGGAGCACCUGCUGCUCUGCCAAGUGGUCCGCCUGGGCCGCAUCGAACUCCGCCAUGGCAUUGUCCAUGUCGAAGCCCGCAGGCUCUAG